Molecule: RNA transcript, 1744 nt
Organism: Octodon degus (degu)
Lineage: Eukaryota; Metazoa; Chordata; Mammalia; Rodentia; Octodontidae
Gene name: glutamate dehydrogenase 1, mitochondrial-like
Exons: 1
Source: RefSeq, a predicted model, not a curated record
AUGAAACCUCCUCUGCGCUCCUCGCCUCAGCCCCGCCGCCGCUACAGCGAGGCGGCCGCCGACCGCGAGGACCACCCCAACUUCAAGAUGGUGGAGGGCUUCUUCGACCGCGGCGCCAACACCGUGGAGGACAAGCUGGUGGAGGACCUGCGCACCCGCGAGAGCGAGGAGCAGAAGCGCAAUCGCGUGCGCGGCAUCUGCGCAUCAUCAAGCCCUGCAACCAUGUGCUGAGCGUCUCCUUCCCUAUCCGGCGCGACGACGGCUCCUGGGAGGUCGUGGAGGGCUACCGCGCCCAGCACAGCCAGCACCGCGCGCCCUGCAAGGGAGGGAUCCGCUACAGCACUGAUGUGAGUGUGGAUGAAGUGAAGGCACUGGCUUCAGUGAUGACUACAAGUGUGCAGUGGUUGAUUACCAUUUGGAGGGGCUAAAGCAGGUGUUAAGAGCAAUCCUAGGAGCUAUUCAGAUAGUGAAUUAGAAAAGAUCACAAGAAGGUUCACCAUGGAGCUAGCAAAGAAAGGUUUUAUUGGUCCUGGCAUUGAUGUGCCUGCCCCGGACAUGAGCACUGGCGAGCGGGAGAUGUCCUGGAUCGCGGACACUUAUGCCAGCACCAUAGGGCACUAUGAUAUUAACGCACACGCCUGCGUUACCGGAAAGCCGAUCAGUCAAGGGGGCAUCCACUGGCGAAUCUCUGCAACUGGCCAAGGUGUUUUUCAUGGAAUUGAGAAUUUCAUCAACGAAGCUUCCUACAUGAGCAUUUUAGGAAUGACACCUGGCUUUGGAGAUAAAACGUUUGUUGUUCAAGGCUUUGGCAAUGUAGGCCUGCACACUAUGAGAUAUUUACAUCGUUUUGGUGCUAAAUGUGUUGGUGUUGGGGAAUCUGAUGGGAGUAUUUAUAAUUCAGAUGGUAUUGACCCAAAAGAACUGGAAGAUUUCAAAUUGCAACAUGGAUCAAUUCUGGGAUUCCCUAAGGCAAGAAUAUAUGAAGGAAGCAUCUUGGAAGCUGACUGCGAUAUCCUGAUCCCAGCUGCCAGUGAGAAGCAGUUGACCAAAUCCAAUGCACCCAAAGUCAAAGCCAAGAUCAUUGCCGAAGGUGCCAAUGGACCCACCACUCCAGAGGCUGACAGGAUCUUCCUGGAGAGGAGCAUCAUGGUUAUUCCGGAUCUCUAUUUGAAUGCUGGAGGAGUGACGGUAUCUUACUUUGAGUGGCUGAAGAAUCUAAACCAUGUCAGCUAUGGCUGAUUGACCUUCAAAUAUGAAAGGGAUUCUAACUACCACUUGCUCAUAUCUGUUCAAGAAAGCUUAGAAAGAAAAUUUGGGAAGCAUGGUGGAACAAUUCCUAUCGUCCCAACAGCAGAGUUCCAGGACAGAAUAUCGGGCGCAUCGGAAAAAGACAUUGUGCACUCAGGCUUGGCCUACACAAUGGAGCACUCUGCCAGGCAAAUCAUGCACACAGCGAUGAAGUACAACCUGGGCUUGGACCUGAGGACGGUGGCCUAUGUCAAUGCCAUUGAGAAGGUCUUCAAAGUGUACAAUGAAGCUGGUGUGACCUUCACCUAGAUACUGGUGGCCCACUGCUUGGCCACCCCCUCCACCCGUACUUUCUGCAGCCCUCAGUUUACAUGUAACCGCAGCAAUCUUUCCCAUGACUCAGUAGAUAAUGGACCACUCUCAACCAGUCAGCCCAAAUCAGCCCUUUAAAAGGAAGCAAGAGAAGGCUAGGGGAUCUUGCACAAGCUGUGCCAGG